Molecule: long non-coding RNA, 359 nt
Filed under: Setaria viridis
Lineage: Eukaryota; Viridiplantae; Streptophyta; Magnoliopsida; Poales; Poaceae
Description: long non-coding RNA (SVIR_LNC009590)
Source: RNAcentral
CCACGGUUGCUGAGGUUAGCCGCCACCGCAGAUCUAGUUGGACUUUAUAGUGAGCAGAAAGGAGAGUGUUUAUUUUGAAAAUACAAGGCGGGAGUUUGGAGGGACACUGCAGUAGCCAUGUUUUUAUUAUUUGGGGGAGGCGAGGGAAUACAAAAUUUGAAGAUCCCGCUUUCAAGUUCCUGGGCGCGAAAUGAAAAUUUGGUAAGUUGCACUUGCUGCGGGAUCAUUGACAAGAUUGUGCGCUCUUAUCGGACCCAUUUGACAGCGAAGCUGGGUGCAUUUCAUCUUGCGUCCAACAUAGGCAGGAGACGAAUAUCUGGAAGAGGCCCACGCCUUAGUGAACCUGGGUGCAUUUCCAG